GACGAACGCUGGCGGCGUGCCUAAUACAUGCAAGUAGAACGCUGAAGAGAGGAGCUUACUCUUCUUGGAUGAGUUGCGAACGGGUGAGUAACGCGUAGGUAACCUGCCUUGUAGCGGGGGAUAACUAUUGGAAGCGAUAGCUAAUACCGCAUAACAAUGGAUGACACAUGUCAUUUAUUUGAAAGGGGCAAUUGCUCCACUACAAGAUGGACCUGCGUUGUAUUAGCUAGUAGGUGAGGUAAUGGCUCACCUAGGCGACGAUACAUAGCCGACCUGAGAGGGUGAUCGGCCACACUGGGACUGAGACACGGCCCAGACUCCUACGGGAGGCAGCAGUAGGGAAUCUUCGGCAAUGGGGGCAACCCUGACCGAGCAACGCCGCGUGAGUGAAGAAGGUUUUCGGAUCGUAAAGCUCUGUUGUAAGUCAAGAACGGGUGUGAGAGUGGAAAGUUCACACUGUGACGGUAGCCUACCAGAAAGGGACGGCUAACUACGUG
Molecule: ribosomal RNA, 497 nt
Filed under: uncultured bacterium
Lineage: Bacteria
Description: partial 16S ribosomal RNA
Rfam family: Bacterial small subunit ribosomal RNA
Source: RNAcentral